AAUAAAAAGGAAAUUCAAAAACGUAACCGCGCGGCAAAAUCACUCUUCUUCGUUCUCAUCAUUUUCUCCAUCACUUCUUCUUCUUCUUCUUCUUAAAGCAUCAUCACACUUUUGGCAGCAGUUUCGGCGGUUGCAGCAGUUCAGCGCUUUAAAAGAAUAUCACAAAAAACGGUCUCUCUUCUCCUGUUACUGUUGUUGUUCUUUUACAACUCUCUCUACUGAAUAGUAAUACUCUACUAGAAGAAUAAUUUUACU
This 255-nucleotide non-coding RNA is filed under the name Bathycoccus prasinos. Lineage: Eukaryota; Viridiplantae; Chlorophyta; Mamiellophyceae; Mamiellales; Bathycoccaceae. The record is from RNAcentral.